AACGCUGGCGGCAGGCCUAACACAUGCAAGUCGAGCGGUAACAGGAAUUAGCUUGCUAAUUCGCUGACGAGCGGCGGACGGGUGAGUAAUGCCUGGGAAUAUGCCUUAGUGUGGGGGAUAACUAUUGGAAACGAUAGCUAAUACCGCAUAAUGUCUUCGGACCAAAGAGGGGGACCUUCGGGCCUCUCGCGCUAAGAUUAGCCCAGGUGGGAUUAGCUAGUUGGUGAGGUAAAGGCUCACCAAGGCAACGAUCCCUAGCUGGUCUGAGAGGAUGAUCAGCCACACUGGAACUGAGACACGGUCCAGACUCCUACGGGAGGCAGCAGUGGGGAAUAUUGCACAAUGGGGGAAACCCUGAUGCAGCCAUGCCGCGUGUAUGAAGAAGGCCUUCGGGUUGUAAAGUACUUUCAGUCGUGAGGAAGGGUAUGUAGUUAAUAGCUGCAUACCUUGACGUUAGCGACAGAAGAAGCACCGGCUAACUCCGUGCCAGCAGCCGCGGUAAUACGGAGGGUGCGAGCGUUAAUCGGAAUUACUGGGCGUAAAGCGCAUGCAGGCGGUCUGUUAAGCAAGAUGUGAAAGCCCGGGGCUCAACCUCGGAACCGCAUUUUGAACUGGCAGACUAGAGUCUUGUAGAGGGGGGUAGAAUUUCAGGUGUAGCGGUGAAAUGCGUAGAGAUCUGAAGGAAUA
Molecule: ribosomal RNA, 687 nt
Filed under: uncultured bacterium
Lineage: Bacteria
Description: bacterial SSU rRNA
Rfam family: Bacterial small subunit ribosomal RNA
Source: RNAcentral